UAUUAAUAAUCUCAUCCAUUUGUACUAAUAAAAAUUGGUAUGGGUGAUGGAAUAACUAAGCAGUGACACGUGGCUUGCCACAUAUACAUUAUGCGUAUAUACAAAGAUCUAUUUUUAAUAGUAAAAAUGGAUAGAAUUUUACCU
Molecule: non-coding RNA, 144 nt
Organism: Gossypium hirsutum (cotton)
Lineage: Eukaryota; Viridiplantae; Streptophyta; Magnoliopsida; Malvales; Malvaceae
Source: Rfam